UCAGAACGAACGCUGGCGGCGCGUCUUAAGCAUGCAAGUCGAACGGCAAGAGGUAGCAAUACCUCCUAGAGUGGCGGACUGGUGAGUAACACGUGGGUGACCUACCCUUCAGAUGGGGAUAGCUAUUAGAAAUAGUAGAUAAUACCGAAUACGAGCACAGGGGUUAGAGAUCUGUGAGGAAAGGAGCUAAGGCUCCGCUGAAGGAAUGGCCUGCGGCCCAUUAGCUAGUUGGUGAGGUAAGAGCCCACCAAGGCGAUGAUGGGUAUCCGGCCUUAGAGGGUGAACGGACACAUUGGGACUGAGAUACGGCCCAGACUCCUACGGGAGGCAGCAGCUAAGAAUAUUCCGCAAUGGACGAAAGUCUGACGGAGCGACGCCGCGUGGAUGAAGAAGGCCGGAAGGUUGUAAAAUCCUUUUGAAACUGAAGAAUAAGCGUUGUAGGGAAUGACAGCGUGGUGACAGUAGGUUCUGAAUAAGCAACGGCUAAUUACGUGCCAGCCGCCGC
This 505-nucleotide ribosomal RNA is filed under the name uncultured bacterium. Its description in RNAcentral is "bacterial SSU rRNA". It matches the Rfam family "Bacterial small subunit ribosomal RNA", at positions 24 to 518 of the family's 1533-position model. The record is from RNAcentral.